Molecule: ribosomal RNA, 481 nt
Filed under: uncultured bacterium
Lineage: Bacteria
Description: bacterial SSU rRNA
Rfam family: Bacterial small subunit ribosomal RNA
Source: RNAcentral
AUUGAACGCUGGCGGCAUGCCUUACACAUGCAAGUCGAACGGUAACAGGUCUUCGGAUGCUGACGAGUGGCGAACGGGUGAGUAAUAUAUCGGAACGUGCCCAGUCGUGGGGGAUAACGCAGCGAAAGCUGUGCUAAUACCGCAUACGAUCUAUGGAUGAAAGCGGGGGAUCGCAAGACCUCGCGCGAUUGGAGCGGCCGAUAUCAGAUUAGGUAGUUGGUGGGGUAAAGGCCCACCAAGCCAACGAUCUGUAGCUGGUCUGAGAGGACGACCAGCCACACUGGAACUGAGACACGGUCCAGACUCCUACGGGAGGCAGCAGUGGGGAAUUUUGGACAAUGGGCGCAAGCCUGAUCCAGCAAUGCCGCGUGCAGGAUGAAGGCCUUCGGUUGUAAACUGCUUUGUACGGACGAAAGGCUCUGGUUAAUACCUGGGGCGUCAUGACGGUACCGUAAGAAUAAGCACCGGCUAACUACGUGCC